UAAGGAAUAUUCCACAAUGGGGGAAACCCUGAUGGAGCAACGCCGCGUGCAGGAUGAAGGCCCUCGGGUCGUAAACUGCUUUUAUGGGUGAAUAAUAUGAAUGUAACCCUUGAAUAAGCACCGGCUAACUACGUGCCAGCAGCCGCGGUCAUCAGUAGGGUGCAAGCAUUAUCCGGAGUGACUGGGCGUAAAGAGUUGCGUAGGUGGUUUGUCUAGUGAAUAGUGAAAUCUGGUGGCUCAACCACACAGACUAUUAUUCAAACUGGCAGACUCGAGAGUAGCAGAGGUAACUGGAAUUGCGAGUGUAGGAAUGAAAUCCGUAGAUAUUAGAAGGAACACCGAUUGCAUAGGCAGGUUACUGGGCUAUUUCUGACACUGAGGCACGAAAGCGUGGGGAGCGAACC
Molecule: ribosomal RNA, 404 nt
Filed under: uncultured prokaryote
Description: bacterial SSU rRNA
Rfam family: Bacterial small subunit ribosomal RNA
Source: RNAcentral